Molecule: transfer RNA, 74 nt
Filed under: bacterium
Lineage: Bacteria
Also listed under: 3 other names
Description: tRNA-Lys
Rfam family: tRNA
About the family: Transfer RNA (tRNA) molecules are approximately 80 nucleotides in length. Their secondary structure includes four short double-helical elements and three loops (D, anti-codon, and T loops).
Source: RNAcentral
GGGCCGUUAGCUCAGUUUGGUAGAGCAGCUGACUCUUAAUCAGCGGGCCGCAGGUUCAAGUCCUGCACGGCCCA